CACCGCGAAAAAUUGCAUACGCGUAUAACUCCGUAGAUAAGGUACGGGGGGCUCUACCGGAAACCGUAAAGUUCCGAUUACAAACAAAUGCAUGCCUGGC
Molecule: non-coding RNA, 100 nt
Filed under: Saccharibacillus sacchari
Lineage: Bacteria; Bacillati; Bacillota; Bacilli; Caryophanales; Paenibacillaceae
Also listed under: 1 other name
Description: Guanine sequence
Rfam family: Purine riboswitch aptamer
About the family: Riboswitches are metabolite binding domains within certain messenger RNAs that serve as precision sensors for their corresponding targets. Allosteric rearrangement of mRNA structure is mediated by ligand binding, and this results in modulation of gene expression. A class of riboswitches that selectively recognises guanine and becomes saturated at concentrations as low as 5 nM.
Source: RNAcentral